Molecule: ribosomal RNA, 253 nt
Filed under: uncultured bacterium
Lineage: Bacteria
Description: partial 16S ribosomal RNA
Rfam family: Bacterial small subunit ribosomal RNA
Source: RNAcentral
UACGGAGGGUGCAAGCGUUAUCCGGAUUCACUGGGUUUAAAGGGUGCGUAGGCGGAUUCUUAAGUCCGUGGUGAAAUCUCCAAGCUUAACUUGGAAACUGCCAUGGAUACUAUUAGUCUUGAAUGUUGUGGAGGUUAGCGGAAUAUGUCAUGUAGCGGUGAAAUGCAUAGAUAUGACAUAGAACACCAAUUGUGAAGGCAGCUGGCUACACAAAUAUUGACGCUGAGGCACGAAAGCGUGGGGAUCAAACAGG